UAAAGUUGUUGCGGUUAAAAAGCUCGUAGUUGAAAUUGUGUCCUGCGGCGUCGGUCUACCGAUUGCGGUACGACAGGCGCGUCUGCGGGGCUUCUCGCCGGUGCGUGUUCACCGCCGGCGCGUCGGCGUCGGCUCCUAGCGGGUCGGCGUCCGGCGCAGAGGCGGGCCCUCGCGGCUGUUUACUUUGAACAAAUUAGAGUGCUCAAAGCGGGCUAAUAUUUGCCUGAAUAUUGUGUGCAUGGAAUAAUAGAAUAGGACCUCGGUUCUGUUUUGUUGGCUUUCUGAUACCAGAGGUAAUGAUUAAUAGGGACAACUGGGGGCAUUCGUAUUGCGACGUUAGAGGUGAAAUUCUUGGAUCGUCGCAAGACGGACUAAAGCGAAAGCAUUUGCCAAAGGUGUUUUCAUUAAUCAAGAACGAAAGUUAGAGGUUCGAAGGCGAUUAGAUACCGCUGUAGUUCUAACCAUAAAUGAUGCCAGCCAGCGAUCCGCCGAAGUUUUUUUAUUUGAUUCGGUGGGCAGCUCCCGGGAAACCGAAGCUUUC
RNAcentral lists this ribosomal RNA (541 nucleotides) under Hydrobiosella stenocerca. RNAcentral describes it as "SSU rRNA". It matches the Rfam family "Eukaryotic small subunit ribosomal RNA", at positions 605 to 1108 of the family's 1831-position model. Lineage: Eukaryota; Metazoa; Arthropoda; Insecta; Trichoptera; Philopotamidae. The record is from RNAcentral.